Molecule: long non-coding RNA, 694 nt
Filed under: Homo sapiens (human)
Lineage: Eukaryota; Metazoa; Chordata; Mammalia; Primates; Hominidae
Description: non-protein coding lnc-PGPEP1L-11:1
Source: RNAcentral
CUGCUUGCUCCAGAGCUAUUGACCUCUUGCCCAGCCUCCCAGCUUCCUGAAUCCGUGAGAACAUUCAGUGAAUCAAUGAGGACAUCCACAACCUCAUUGAGUUCUCCUUUGCCCUUCCCGUUCCCUGCCUCAGUCACAAGACCCUCUCCACAUCUCUCACCCUGUCUUGCCUUGACGACCUGUCCAGGCCCAUCAUCCACCUGACCUAUAAACUUCAAACACUUUCUGGUGUUUCCUGCUUCCAAAUAUUCCUCAAAAUUGAGGAUCCUGAGUUGAAUAUCUGGAGUUCUCCUUUCUGAUUUCUAUAAUGGUCAACAUGCUCUAAGGCAGAUUUUCCAAGCAUUUCUGGACUUGCCAGAGACUUCCUCCCUUGGCAGGUCUGAAUCAGAAAAUUCACACGCUGGCUGGGCACGGUGGCUCAUGCCUUUAAUCCCAGCAUGUUGGGAUUACAGGUGUGAGCCACUGAGCCCAGCCAGAAUCUCUACUUUUAACACAUAUCCUGGAGAAUUCUUAUGAUCAAGUAUGUUGGAGGAAUAGCUAGAAUGCCUACUGGGGUGAUAACAGUUUUAAAAAGUAUUAUGUUUUACUUCUUCAUGUAUAUUUGCAUGUUUUCCUAACAGACCCUCAACGUUGCUAGAUGAUUGGCUAUAUGGAUGAUUUGACUGGGAGGUAGUGGCCCUAAUGGAGUAAUAAG